RNAcentral lists this ribosomal RNA (468 nucleotides) under uncultured bacterium. RNAcentral's name for it is "partial 16S ribosomal RNA". It matches the Rfam family "Bacterial small subunit ribosomal RNA", at positions 28 to 507 of the family's 1533-position model. The record is from RNAcentral.
GACGAACGCUGGCGGCGUGCUUAACACAUGCAAGUCGAACGGAAAGGCCCUGCUUUUGUGGGGUGCUCGAGUGGCGAACGGGUGAGUAACACGUGAGUAACCUGCCCUUGACUUUGGGAUAACUUCAGGAAACUGGGGCUAAUACCGGAUAGGAGCUCCUGCUGCAUGGUGGGGGUUGGAAAGUUUCGGCGGUUGGGGAUGGACUCGCGGCUUAUCCGCUUGUUGGUGGGGUAGUGGCUUACCAAGGUUUUGACGGGUAGCCGGCCUGAGAGGGUGACCGGCCACAUUGGGACUGAGAUACGGCCCAGACUCGUACGGGAGGCAGCAGUGGGGAAUAUGGCACAAUGGGCGGAAGCCUGAUGCAGCAGCGCCGGGUGCGGGAUAACGGCCUUCGAGGUGUAAACCGCUGUCGCCUGUGACGAAGCGUGAGUGACGGUAAUGGGUAAGAAAGCACCGGCUAACUACGUG